This 851-nucleotide ribosomal RNA is filed under the name uncultured bacterium. RNAcentral describes it as "bacterial SSU rRNA". It matches the Rfam family "Bacterial small subunit ribosomal RNA", at positions 460 to 1319 of the family's 1533-position model. The record is from RNAcentral.
UGUAGGAACUUGACGGUACCGUAAGAAUAAGGAUCGGCUAACUCCGUGCCAGCAGCCGCGGUAAUACGGAGGAUCCAAGCGUUAUCCGGAAUCAUUGGGUUUAAAGGGUCCGUAGGCGGCCUUAUAAGUCAGUGGUGAAAGCCCAUCGCUUAACGAUGGAACGGCCAUUGAUACUGUAGGGCUUGAAUUUUUGUGAAGUAACUAGAAUAUGUAGUGUAGCGGUGAAAUGCUUAGAUAUUACAUGGAAUACCAAUUGCGAAGGCAGGUUACUAACAAACAAUUGACGCUGAUGGACGAAAGCGUGGGGAGCGAACAGGAUUAGAUACCCUGGUAGUCCACGCCGUAAACGAUGGAUACUAGCUGUUUGGAGCAAUCUGAGUGGCUAAGCGAAAGUGAUAAGUAUCCCACCUGGGGAGUACGCACGCAAGUGUGAAACUCAAAGGAAUUGACGGGGGCCCGCACAAGCGGAGGAGCAUGUGGUUUAAUUCGAUGAUACGCGAGGAACCUUACCAGGGCUUAAAUGGGAGACGACAGGACUGGAAACAGUUUUUUCUUCGGACGUCUUUCAAGGUGCUGCAUGGUUGUCGUCAGCUCGUGCCGUGAGGUGUCAGGUUAAGUCCUAUAACGAGCGCAACCCCUAUUGUUAGUUGCCAGCGGGUCAUGCCGGGAACUCUAACAAGACUGCCGGUGCAAACCGUGAGGAAGGUGGGGAUGACGUCAAAUCAUCACGGCCCUUACGUCCUGGGCUACACACGUGCUACAAUGGACGGUACAGAGAGCAGCCACCACGCAAGUGGGCGCGAAUCUUCAAAGCCGUUCUCAGUUCGGAUCGGAGUCUGCAACUCGACUCC